This 468-nucleotide ribosomal RNA is filed under the name uncultured bacterium. RNAcentral describes it as "partial 16S ribosomal RNA". It matches the Rfam family "Bacterial small subunit ribosomal RNA", at positions 28 to 507 of the family's 1533-position model. The record is from RNAcentral.
GACGAACGCUGGCGGCGUGCUUAACACAUGCAAGUCGAACGGAAAGGCCCUGCUUUUGUGGGGUGCUCGAUUGGCGAACGGGUGAGUAACACGUGAGUAACCUGCCCUUGACUUUGGGAUAACUUCAGGAAACUGGGGCUAAUACCGGAUAGGAGCUCCUGCUGCAUGGUGGGGGUUGGAAAGUUUCGGCGGUUGGGGAUGGACUCGCGGCUUAUCAGCUUGUUGGUGGGGUAGUGGCUUACCAAGGCUUUGACGGGUAGCCGGCCUGAGAGGGUGACCGGCCACAUUGGGACUGCGAUACGGCCCAGACGCCUACGGGAGGCAGCAGUGGGGAAUAUUGCACAAUGGGCGGAAGCCUGAUGCAGCAACGCCGCGUGCGGGAUGACGGCCUUCGGGUUGUAAACCGCUUUCGCCUGUGACGAAGCGUGAGUGACGGUAAUGGGUAAAGAAGCACCGGCUAACUACGUG